Molecule: ribosomal RNA, 545 nt
Filed under: Ocynectes modestus
Lineage: Eukaryota; Metazoa; Chordata; Actinopteri; Perciformes; Cottidae
Description: partial 12S rRNA
Rfam family: Bacterial small subunit ribosomal RNA
Source: RNAcentral
GCCCCUGUGAGAAUGCCCUACAGUUCCCCGCCCGGAAACAAGGAGCAGGUAUCAGGCACGCCCCGCGCAGGCCCAUAACACCUUGCUUAGCCACACCCUCAAGGGACCUCAGCAGUGAUAGACAUUAAGCCAUAAGUGAAAGCUUGACUUAGUUAAAGCUAAGAGGGCCGGUAAAACUCGUGCCAGCCACCGCGGUUAUACGAGAGGCCCACGUUGAUAAACACCGGCGUAAAGCGUGGUUACGUUAGAGUUCAUACUAAAGCCAAACAUCUUCAAAGCUGUUAUACGCAACCGAAGACAGGAAGUUCAACCACGAAAGUAGCUUUAUUAAACCCGAACCCACGAGAGCUAAGGAACAAACGGGGAUUAGAUACCCCCCUAUGCCUAGCCCUAAACAUUGGUAGUACUAUACACCCACUACCCGCCCGGGUACUACGAGCAAUAGCUUAAAACCCAAAGGACUUGGCGGUGCUUUAGAUCCACCUAGAGGAGCCUGUUCUAGAACCGAUAACCCCCGUUCAACCUCACCCCUCCUUGUUUAACCC